Molecule: long non-coding RNA, 2479 nt
Filed under: Salvia miltiorrhiza (redroot sage)
Lineage: Eukaryota; Viridiplantae; Streptophyta; Magnoliopsida; Lamiales; Lamiaceae
Description: long non-coding RNA (SMIL_LNC004696)
Source: RNAcentral
UAAAUUGGCCCACUGAUUAAAAUAGAGGCAGCCCAGGUUAACUAAAAUAAAAUCGGACCCAACAAAAAUAAUGUAAGGCCCAUCACCUUAACAAGUAAAUAAAAAUAAUCUCAGCCCAAUUCUCAGGCCCAAAACUUAAGAGAUAAACUGAGCCCAAACCCUCAUCCCCUUUUCUCUCGGUCACACGCACAAACCCAGAAAUCUGCUCCUCAUUCCUUACGAAAUCCGCUCGUCUCCCUCUCUCGAAGUUCAGCCACCGCAGCUUUCUUUCCGGCGACGAACGCCGCCGGUCAGCCGCCCCCUAUCUCUCGCUAAUCGCUCCCUGUCUCGAACACAUCCGCUCCCAACACGCUGAAUACAGGACACACCCACACCCGAGACUCACACACACGGCGCACCACCUCAGGCCGCGGCCUCCUUCCUUGGCGAUGGCGAAAGCGCCGCCGCCUCCCUCUAUUCCUCAGAUCCGACUCUCUCAUUCUCCGGCGAGCUCUCUCCUUCCUCCAUUUCAGUCACCGCUGCCGUCCGUAUCUCGGCAACUGACACCGCUAUUUUAAUUUCGGCAACUGCAACGGCCUGCUGAGCCCGCCACCACUGGUCUCCCUCCAUUUUCGGCGACUACAGCAAGCGGACGCCACCGUCGUUGACAGCAGCGAACCACCGCCGCCAGCCACCGAUUUCACCCUCAAGGCUACCCCCUGUUCUCCCUCUCCUCUCUCUCCCAUCUCUCUCCGGCUUCGACGGACAGCAGCUGCCAGGCCGCCGCCACCGAGCUCAGACUCAGAACACACACAACAAAAUCGAAACUUCCCCCAUUUCUUCCUUUUUUUUUCAUAACAGUGAAAGCUGAGUUCUUGAAAUCAAUCGAGCUUUUAUUUAAAGGGUUAAUUGCAUGUAAUAUCAUGAACUUAACGCGAAAUCCAAAUUUAGCAUGACUUUUAAAAGUUCCAAUUAUUAUCACCACCUAUGCCCCGUGUCCAAUUUUAGCACCUUUUUGUUUUCUGUUUUCUGAUAGAACCACGCAGUGGCGGAUUCAGGAUUUAUUAUUAGGGGGUACAAAAUUUACUGCAGUACGACAUAGACGUAUGAAAAUAUUUAUACGUCCGCCUCCGAACCAAUUUUUUUAAGCAUUCCGUCAAUUUGUAUUUAUAUCCAAGUAGAAUCUUAAUAGGUUUGGAAUUAGAAUUAAUCACUUAAUUGUUCACAAUUUCAUUAAUUCAAUGGCAAGUAUAUUAAAACAUAUAAAGACAUACUUUUAUUCGUAUUUUUUUAAAUAUAUUAUUUUAUCUUCUAAACAAAUAAACUAAUUUCAUUAUUAAUAGUUCGUAAUUUAUUUUAACUCGGGGAUUAACUCAAAUUCAAUAUUAAAACUUAUCUAAUUAAAAAGGAAAAUGAGACAAAACUAACAUAAAUUUAACAAACUAAUAGAACAAAUCAAUGUAAAUUGUCAAAUAUUUAAUCUAAUAUUAUAAUUAUUAUAAUACUAUAUUAUACUUUUCCUUGUAUAUAUAUAUGUAUAUAGUAAAAAAAUUAAAAAAAAAUGGGGGUACAGUUGUACCCCCUUGCUCCCAUAUAGAUCCGCCACUGGAAUCACGUGGCAAUGACGUGUCUUCCGGUAGACACGUCAUUGCCACGUACUCCGAAGAGAGAGAGAGAGAGGGGGCUAAAAUCGGCGGGUUUGCAGAGGGCGGCGCGACGACCCCGAUCCCCCCUCCCCCCACCUCAGCCUACCAGAAUGAUGAGGGUGGCGGCGUCGCGAGGAGGGGAGUCGCCGAGAAGGGGAAUCGCGCAGAGGGCGGCGGCGGCGCGACUGAAAAUUCUGGAAUUGGGGGUAGGGUUUGAAAAUUCUGAAAAAUUCUGGAAUUGGCGGCACACGUCGCCGGAAUCGCGAGGAGGAGGUGAGGGUGGAGGCGGCGGCACUCGUCGCCGGAAUCGCGAGGAGGAGGUGAGAGGCGUGGGCGGUGGAAGAGGAGGAGGUGAGGGUGGAGGCGGCGGCACUCGUUGCCGGAAUCGCGAAGAGGAAGUGAGAGGCGUGGGCGGUGGAAGAGGAGGAGGUGAGAGGCGUGGGCGGUGGAAGAGGAGGAGGUGAGAGGCGUGGGCGGUGGAAGAGGAGGAGGUGAGGGUGGAGGCGGCGGCACUCGGUCGCCGGAAUCGCGAGGAGGAGGUGAGAGGCGUGGGCUGGGGCCUGUGGAAGAGGAUGAGGUGAGGGGUGAAAGGGCGGCGGAAGAGAGAGAGAGAGAGAGAGAGAGAGAGAGAGAGCUUGGCUCGCCGGUCGGAAGCUUGUACCGGCAAGCCACGUCAAUGACACGUAGGAUCGAAGCAUGUGCCGACAAGCCACGUCAAAAAACGGUGCUAAAAUUGGACACGGGGCAUAGGUGGUGAUAUUAAUUGGAACUUUUUAAAGUCGUGCUAAAUUUGGAUUUCGCGUUAAGUUCAUGAUAUUACAUGCAAUUAACCCUUAUUUAAAAGCAUAAACACA